ACACAGCACAAUGUUGCAGACAGCUGGCUGUCUUAGACAUGUGGCUGCUGUCGAACAAAAAAAAAAGAGAUUGUGGCAGACUACCUCCAUUGGCACGUCAUUGACCGCAACUCCUCUGUAAUUGACAGAUUCAAAGAUGGUCUGUCAGCCCUUGAGUUUCUUGGUGCACUGAAGCAACACCCUGCUUUGCUGACCCCUGUCCUGUGCCACGUCGACAAGAAACUCACUGGCUUAGACCUUGAGAGGGUCUUCAAACCUGAUCUCAGUCCUUCAGGAAGUAACAGAAGACUGAAAGAAAACCAAACAUUGGCCUACUGGGCAGACUAUCUUCUGGAUUGUGAAGAAGGAGAGGCUGCUGUGUCUGUGGAGGACGUGUUGAUGUUUUCAACUGGACUGAGAUCCCUUCCCCCAGCUGGCUUAGACCCACUUCCACAAUUAGAGUUCCUAGAUAACUCGCCAUUUCCAAUGGCAAACACUUGUGGAAAUGUCUUAAAACUACCACUCCUAGAUUCUUACGGAGUGUUUAAGACACAAAUGGACUUUGGAAUGCAAAAUAGUCCAGGAUUUGGCUGUUUUUGACUUCACAACCUAACCCUAGAUCCCUGAGACUAGUUUAAUGUGGGUUUUUUUCAGUUAACAUGAAAAAUAAUGGAUCUAAAACGAUUAGCAUUCUUAUUUGUUUAAUUGCCACUUUGGAAAAUUGAAACUGGGUGUCAAAUUCAGACACUUUGUGUACAUUUACAAUAAACCUGCAAUCAAUUCAGAGCUGAGCAAUUUCUUUUAGUCUAAGAUACAGUUCAGUUGAAGACUGCCAGUGAUCUGGCUUCUGUAAAUUAUUUUGCUCCAUGGCUAAGUCCAAGUACUCCUGCAUGUUUGGGUCCCCACAUGGAGCUCUUGUCAGCUGAGCCUCAGGAAAGGCAUCCAGUUCAGUUUCUUCAAUUUUAAAUCCACAGUCUCUGGAGCCAAACCUGUGUUAAACAGAAUAUUACAUUUAUUAA
Long non-coding RNA from Anoplopoma fimbria (sablefish), 998 nucleotides. RefSeq lists it as uncharacterized. NCBI's taxonomy places the organism in Eukaryota, Metazoa, Chordata, Actinopteri, Perciformes, Anoplopomatidae. The record is from RefSeq and is a predicted model, not a curated record. The transcript is spliced from 3 exons.